GUGGGACCGUGAUAUUUGGAACUUGAAGAUUCUACAGUGCAGUAUUCAACCUUCCCCUUCUCAUAAGAUGUACUUUUCAUGGUCAUAUUUCUCCAAUAUCCUUGCACUCCCAUGCUACAAAUGAGAAUCUAUAGACCUACCAACUUCUGGUUUGUUGGUAUCGGAUGGAUUUAGUGCAGGAUUGGGUUCUGGAUGCAGUGGUGCUUGAUGGUGAUCAGACAACACUAUAACAAAUUCCACAAGUUGCUCUAUAAUUGCUGUCAAGAAGUCUCUUGCUGCUCAACAAAUGGCCUUGACACUACAGCCGCUUGGCUAGCAACUAACUCCAACAAAUCUUGCUUGCUCUCGCCCAAAGCUGCAGUAGAGGUUAAAUUUGAAAGCCCCAAAGAGAGUUAUUCCUGUACCAAAUAACCCACAUCACCCAUGGGGAAUUCGUUGGCUAACCAAUUUGCUGAUUAGUUCUCCUAUGUAAACAUACAAGAAGCUUUGACCACUUGAACCACCUUCUGCAACUGCCAUACGUCUCUAAGAGGAGGUGAAUGAUUGCUAGAGAAUCACCUUCCACCCAGGUCUAUGUAGCUUUGUAAAACUGCUGUGCAGAUACCAAGCCAUGCUGCAUAAAGCUCUGAUCUGGGACUGAACAUAUCAAUAGGCUCAUAGCUGCUACAUGAAUGAUCUUUCCACUAUAAUCUCUGAUUAGGAAACCUACGCCAGCUGAAGAACUCUGACCCAUCCAUAUUGACCUUUAACAGUACAAGAGGAGGGGACAGACAACAAACAGGGAUUGGUGAAGGUGGGGUUCGCUCUAACCCUUGCCAUCACGCUAAUAGGAUCGAUACUUCUUUUGCUAGAUAUGUAGCUUUAUUAGAAAGAUCAUUGGAUAUUUUUGUACCUUUACCUGGAAUAUUCUAUCACUCCUAGCAGUCCCUAGGAUCCAUCCAGCAUAAAGAAGCAAAAACUCUGUCUCAAUCUAGUUCUUUCUUCACUAGGAACUGAAAUAGUUCAUUGAGAGACUUGAGAAACUUAUCCUUGCUUGAUUUGCAAAAUUAUUCCCAACAUCUUUUGCAAAUGGACAGUCACCAACACAUGCGCCAUAUACUCUUCCAUGUAUCCACAAAGGUCACAAAAACAUUAAUUAUGCUGGAUAAGGCCUCUAGCUUGUAAAAUGAGUUUGCAAGUGAGUCUCUUCCACUUGGCAAGCCACCAAAAGAAACCUACUCUAGGACAUUCCUAAGCCUUCCAGAUCUAUGAGAACUCAUUGUUCGUUUGAUGAUGAUGAUGCUCAACAAUUAUGUUGCAUACCUCUUUCAGAUUGAUCUUUAGGGCCUUGUUUUUUUUUCCCUCGUUAAUUGAUCCAUCCAGCAUUCUUUGGGCAGUCAUAAUUUAGCAAUAUCCCUCACCAUUUCUUGAGGAAAAAUGGUCGCCAGCUUCUGAAUAUCCCAAGGUUUUCGCUCAGUCAACAUAUCUGCAACCUUUACUCCCCCUACGUGAUUGUCCAUGUCAAUUGGGAUCGGCACAGAGUUCACAGCAUGUGCAAAUCCAAGGCUGAUUAAGCAUAUCAAUAUCCUGCACAUUGCUAAUGGUCCACAAGAAAACCUCCUGAAUGAUCAUAGCUCCCUGACAAAUUGAUUUCCAAAUAGCCAACCUCCUUUUACAGGGUUUAUACUCUUUCCAAGCAUCAUGAAAUCUAUGCUCUGGUGAGACCACUGCACAACAUAACGACUCAGUAUUAAGAACAAGACUACCAUCAGCUUUCCCC
This 1759-nucleotide long non-coding RNA is filed under the name Elaeis guineensis (African oil palm). RNAcentral's name for it is "long non-coding RNA (EGUI_LNC002108)". The record is from RNAcentral. Lineage: Eukaryota; Viridiplantae; Streptophyta; Magnoliopsida; Arecales; Arecaceae.